GACGAACGCUGGCGGCGUGCCUAAUACAUGCAAGUUGAGCGAUGAAGCUUGGUGCUUGCACCAAUUUGAAGAGCAGCGAACGGGUGAGUAACGCGUGGGGAAUCUGCCUUUGAGCGGGGGACAACAUUUGGAAACGAAUGCUAAUACCGCAUAACAACUUUAAACAUAAGUUUUAAGUUUGAAAGAUGCAAUUGCAUCACUCAAAGAUGAUCCCGCGUUGUAUUAGCUAGUUGGUGAGGUAAAGGCUCACCAAGGCGAUGAUACAUAGCCGACCUGAGAGGGUGAUCGGCCACAUUGGGACUGAGACACGGCCCAAACUCCUGCGGGAGGCAGCAGUAGGGAAUCUUCGGCAAUGGACGAAAGUCUGACCGAGCAACGCCGCGUGAGUGAAGAAGGUUUUCGGAUCGUAAAACUCUGUUGGUAGAGAAGAACGUUGGUGAGAGUGGAAAGCUCAUCAAGUGACGGUAACUACCCAGAAAGGGACGGCUAACUACGUG
RNAcentral lists this ribosomal RNA (497 nucleotides) under uncultured bacterium. RNAcentral describes it as "partial 16S ribosomal RNA". It matches the Rfam family "Bacterial small subunit ribosomal RNA", at positions 28 to 507 of the family's 1533-position model. The record is from RNAcentral.